GUGCUGAUGAAGAGUCCGAAACAAGGACGAAACAGCUGUCCAGUAC
This 46-nucleotide non-coding RNA is filed under the name Trichobilharzia regenti. The record is from RNAcentral. Lineage: Eukaryota; Metazoa; Platyhelminthes; Trematoda; Strigeidida; Schistosomatidae.